AUCUUUGCGCAGUGGCGAUACAGUAACUAAUGAGGUUCAUCCGAGGUGCUGUUAUUGCUAGUUGAAAACUUUACCCAAUACCCCGUCCGGGACGACGUGAAAUACCGUCGGCUACGGCAAUGUUUGGAGGGUUUUACGGGGC
RNAcentral lists this small nuclear RNA (142 nucleotides) under Pollicipes pollicipes. Its description in RNAcentral is "U4 spliceosomal RNA". It matches the Rfam family "U4 spliceosomal RNA". From Rfam's summary of the family: U4 small nuclear RNA (U4 snRNA) is a component of the major U2-dependent spliceosome. The structure of U4 snRNA from yeast and human has been reported. U4 snRNA presents a k-turn RNA motif in the 5p-SL related to recognition of Snu13 protein. Lineage: Eukaryota; Metazoa; Arthropoda; Thecostraca; Pollicipedomorpha; Pollicipedidae. The record is from RNAcentral.